This 495-nucleotide ribosomal RNA is filed under the name uncultured bacterium. Its description in RNAcentral is "partial 16S ribosomal RNA". It matches the Rfam family "Bacterial small subunit ribosomal RNA", at positions 28 to 507 of the family's 1533-position model. The record is from RNAcentral.
GACGAACGCUGGCGGCGUGCCUAAUACAUGCAAGUAGAGCGCUGAAGGAGGAGCUUGCUCUUCUGGAUGAGUUGCGAACGGGUGAGUAACGCGUAGGUAACCUGCCUGGUAGCGGGGGAUAACUAUUGGAAACGAUAGCUAAUACCGCAUAAGAGUAGAUGUUGCAUGACAUUUGCUUAAAAGGUGCAAUUGCAUCACUACCAGAUGGACCUGCGUUGUAUUAGCUAGUUGGUGGGGUAACGGCUCACCAAGGCGACGAUACAUAGCCGACCUGAGAGGGUGAUCGGCCACACUGGGACUGAGACACGGCCCAGACUCCUACGGGAGGCAGCAGUAGGGAAUCUUCGGCAAUGGACGGAAGUCUGACCGAGCAACGCCGCGUGAGUGAAGAAGGUUUUCGGAUCGUAAAGCUCUGUUGUAAGAGAAGAACGAGUGUGAGAGUGGAAAGUUCACACUGUGACGGUAUCUUAACAGAAAGGGGCGGCUAACUACGUG